Molecule: ribosomal RNA, 2089 nt
Filed under: activated sludge metagenome
Description: bacterial LSU rRNA
Rfam family: Bacterial large subunit ribosomal RNA
Source: RNAcentral
UCAAGCUACUAAGGGCACAUGGUGGAUGCCUUGGUACCGAGAGACGACGAAGGACGUGGUUGGCUGCGAUAAGCUUCGGGGAGCCGCUAAACAGGCUUUGAGCCGGAGAUUUCCGAAUGGGGAAACCCGCCUGGGGUCAUGCCUAGGCAUCCAUGCCUGAAUACAUAGGGCAUGGAGGUGAACGCAGGGAACUGAAACAUCUCAGUACCUGCAGGAAGAGAAAUCAAGAGAGAUUCCCAAAGUAGCGGCGAGCGAAAUGGGAAGAGCCCAAACCGGUUGCGUGUAAGCCCGCAGGCGUUGCGUAAUCGGGGUUGUGGGGGCAGUCCGGAGGGCACUGCGGAUCCUUCAGGGAGUUAUCAAGCAUAUCCAUAGGAGAACGAUCUGGAAAGUUCGGCCAUAGGGGGUGAUAGCCCCGUAUCCGAAAUGGACUAUGCCUCCCUGGGACUGUUUCCCGAGUAGCACGGGGCACGUGGAACCCUGUGUGAAUCCGGAAGGACCAUCUUCCAAGGCUAAAUACUACUCGGUAACCGAUAGUGCACAAGUACCGUGAGGGAAAGGUGAAAAGUACCCCGGCGAGGGGAGUGAAAUAGUACCUGAAACCGUGUGCCUACAUUCUGUGGAAGCCUCAUGUCACAGCUUGCUGUGACGGGGUGACCGCGUGCCUUUUGCAUAAUGAGUCAGCGAGUUACUUUAUGCAGCAAGGUUAAGCCGUUAGGUGUAGCCGUAGCGAAAGCGAGUCUUAAUAGGGCGUUCAGUUGCAUGGAGUAGACCCGAAGCCGGGUGAUCUAUCCAUGGGCAGGGUGAAAGUUCGGUAAAACGGACUGGAGGCCCGAACUGGUGAAGGUUGAAAACUUCUCGGAUGACCUGUGGAUAGGGGUGAAAGGCUAAUCAAACUCGGAGAUAGCUGGUUCUCCCCGAAAUAUAUUUAGGUAUAGCCUCAGACGAUGAAUGCCGGGGGUAGGGCUCUGAAUGGGCUAGGGGUCCUCGCGGAUUACCAACCCCAAUCAAACUUCGAAUACCGGUUAUUUUAGUCUGGGAGUCAGCCUAUGGGAGAUAAGUUCCAUAGACGAAAGGGAAAGAACCCAGACCGCCAGCUAAGGUCCCCAAUAGAUGCUAAGUGGUAAAGGUGGUGGGAUUGCACAAACAACCAGGAUGUUGGCUUAGAAGCAGCCAUCAUUUAAAGAAAGCGUAAUAGCUCACUGGUCGAGUGAUUCUGCGCCGAAAAUGUAACGGGGCUCAAGCAUCUAACCGAAGCUGCGGAUCUAGGCUUCAUGCCUAUGAUGGUAGGGGAGCGUACCAGUUGCCUGCGAAGCCGUACCGUAAGGAGCGGUGGAGGCCCUGGUAGUGCUUAUGCUGACAUGAGUAACAAUAAUACAGGUGAGAAUCCUGUACGCCGUAAACCCAAGGUUUCCUGCGCAAGGAUGUUCCGCGCAGGGUUAGUCGGAGCCUAAGCUGAGGCCGAAAGGCGUAGGUGAUGGUAAACAGGUUAAUAUUCCUGUACCACUGACGUAGCGUUACCAGCAAUGGGGGGACGCAGGAAGGUAUGCCGAGCCGGGCGUUGGUUGUCCCGGUUCAAGCCUGUAGGGAGAGUCUCCAGGCAAAUCCGGAGGCUCGUUAAUCCUGAGAGGUGAUGACGAGUUCAAUUGCGAGCGAAGCGGCAAAUCCUACACUGACAAGAAAAGCCUCUAGCGAGUUACGUUGGUGUCCGUACUGUAAACCGACACAGGUGGGUGGGGUGAGAAACCUAAGGCGUUGAGUGAAACCUCGUUAAGGAACUCGGCAACUUGACACCGUAACUUCGGGAGAAGGUGUGCCCUCGCUAGGUGUAAGAAUUCACUUCUGAAGCCGAGGAGGGUGGCACAAAAAUGGCCGGGGCGACUGUUUACUAAAAACAUAGGACUCUGCUAAAUCGCAAGAUGAUGUAUAGGGUCUGAUGCCUGCCCGGUGCCGGAAGGUUAAGGGGAUCUGUUAUUCGCAAGGAGAAGCAGUGAACCGAAGCCCCGGUAAACGGCGGCCGUAACUAUAACGGUCCUAAGGUAGCGAAAUUCCUUGUCGGGUAAGUUCCGACCUGCACGAAUGGCGUAACGAU